This 177-nucleotide ribosomal RNA is filed under the name uncultured bacterium. Its description in RNAcentral is "partial 16S ribosomal RNA". It matches the Rfam family "Bacterial small subunit ribosomal RNA", at positions 334 to 525 of the family's 1533-position model. The record is from RNAcentral.
UACUCCUACGGGAGGCAGCAGGGAGGAAUAUUGGGCAAUGGGGGAAACCCUGACCCAGCAACGCCGCGUGAAGGAAGAAGGCCCUCGGGUUGUAAACUUCUGUGACAGGGGACGAAAAAAAUGACGGUACCCUGAGAGGAAGCCACGGCAAACUACGUGCCAGCAGCCGCGGUAAGA